Molecule: non-coding RNA, 421 nt
Organism: Arachis ipaensis
Lineage: Eukaryota; Viridiplantae; Streptophyta; Magnoliopsida; Fabales; Fabaceae
Source: RefSeq, a predicted model, not a curated record
GACGGUGAGGCGUGGCAGCGACGGCUCCUCCCUCCAGCUUGACGAUGGCGUGACGGCGGCCCACACCCUACCGGCGACGCAUCUCCCUUCUCGGAUCUCUCUUCCAUGUGUGUGAAUACAUUUGUUUUGUGUGUGUAUAGUUGAGAAGGCAGAAAGAGUGAGGAGAGGAGGGUUGGGGGCUGCGCAGGUGAAGAGGAGAGAGGCGGUGAAGAUAGAAUUAUGGUUAAGGGCAAUGUAGUCAUUUUACUUGAGUGAGAGGGACUUAUGUGUUCCGUUUUCAAAACCUCCAUCCUACUAACAUGCCACGUGGGAACGCCGUUGAGCCAGGAACGUCAGGGAUUUAAAUAUAUUUUCCAAUGCUCAGGGACAAAAAUGUCUGAGGCUUAAAAAGUCAGGGACUAAAUUGUCCUUUUCUCUAAAA